This 253-nucleotide ribosomal RNA is filed under the name uncultured bacterium. Its description in RNAcentral is "partial 16S ribosomal RNA". It matches the Rfam family "Bacterial small subunit ribosomal RNA", at positions 524 to 776 of the family's 1533-position model. The record is from RNAcentral.
UACAGAGGUGGCGAGCGUUAUUCGGAAUUACUGGGCGUAAAGGGUUCGUAGGUGGCCUACUAAGUCAUACGUGAAAUCCCUCAGCUUAACUGGGGAACUGCGUCUGAGACUGGAAGGCUUGAGUGCAGGAGAGGAACGCGGAAUUCCAGGUGUAGCGGUGAAAUGCGUAGAUAUCUGGAGGAACACCGGUGGCGAAGGCGGCGUUCUGGACUGCAACUGACACUGAGGAACGAAAGCCAGGGGAGCAAACGGG